RNAcentral lists this ribosomal RNA (333 nucleotides) under unidentified low G+C gram-positive bacterium. RNAcentral describes it as "SSU rRNA". It matches the Rfam family "Bacterial small subunit ribosomal RNA", at positions 1166 to 1498 of the family's 1533-position model. The record is from RNAcentral. Lineage: Bacteria; Bacillati; Bacillota.
GAGGAAGGCGGGGACGACGUCAAAUCAUCAUGCCCCUUACGUUCUGGGCUACACACGUACUACAAUGGCGUCUAACAGAGGGGAGCGAAGGAGCGAUCCGGAGCAAAUCCCAAAAAGACGUCCCAGUUCAGACUGCAGGCUGCAACCCGCCUGCACGAAGUCGGAAUUGCUAGUAAUCGCAGGUCAGCAUACUGCGGUGAAUACGUUCCCGGGCUUUGUACACACCGCCCGUCAAACCAUGAAAGUCGGGAAUACCCGAAGUCAGUGAGCUAACCGCAAGGGGGCAGCUGCCUAAGGUAGGUUCGAUGAUUGGGGUUAAGUCGUAACAAGGUA